RNAcentral lists this long non-coding RNA (369 nucleotides) under Mytilus galloprovincialis (Mediterranean mussel). Lineage: Eukaryota; Metazoa; Mollusca; Bivalvia; Mytilida; Mytilidae. The record is from RNAcentral.
UAUAUACAGUCACUUCCGGUUGGAAAGUGCGGGAACUACAACAACAACAAAGAACAGGCGGGAACAAUUUUAUCACUGAAAACAUGGUCCGAACAAAAGCAGACAGCAGUGGCGCGUCGAGAAAGGGUAAAAUAAGUUGUUUUUGUCCCGAAGUUUGACUGUACUAUACUUAAACUUUUACAACUAUAAUAAUUUAUAGAAAAGAAGAUGUGGUAUGAUUGAUCGAUUGCCAAAGAGACAACAAUCCACAAGAAACCAAUUUAGGCAAUUGACACAGAAAUAUUAAUAACUAUAGGUCGCACGACACUGUACGACUUUCGACAAUGAGGAAAGCCCAUACCGCAUAGUCCACUAAUUUAAAGCCCCGAA